CGGGGUGGAGUAACGCGUGGGUAACCUGCCUCAUACAGGGGAUAACAGUUAGAAAUGACUGCUAAUACCGCAUAAGCGCACGGAAUCGCAUGAUUCAGUGUGAAAAGCCGAGACGGUAUGAGAUGGACCCGCGUCUGAUUAGGUAGUUGGUGAGGUAACGGCCCACCAAGCCGACGAUCAGUAGCCGACCUGAGAGGGUGACCGGCCACAUUGGGACUGAGACACGGCCCAA
Molecule: ribosomal RNA, 232 nt
Filed under: uncultured bacterium
Lineage: Bacteria
Description: partial 16S ribosomal RNA
Rfam family: Bacterial small subunit ribosomal RNA
Source: RNAcentral